GACAGAGGAUGCAAGCGUUAUCCGGAAUGAUUGGGCGUAAAGCGUCUGUAGGUGGCUUCUUAAGUCCGCUGUCAAAUCCCAGGGCUUAACCCUGGCCAGGCGGUGGAGACUACUAAGCUUGAGUACGGUAGGGGCAGAGGGAAUUUCCGGUGGAGCGGUGAAAUGCGUAGAGAUCGGAAAGAACACCAAGGGCGAAGGCACUCUGCUGGGCCGACACUGACACUGAGAGACGAGAGCUAGGGGAGCUAAUGGG
This 253-nucleotide ribosomal RNA is filed under the name uncultured bacterium. RNAcentral's name for it is "partial 16S ribosomal RNA". It matches the Rfam family "Bacterial small subunit ribosomal RNA", at positions 524 to 776 of the family's 1533-position model. The record is from RNAcentral.